RNAcentral lists this ribosomal RNA (628 nucleotides) under uncultured bacterium. Its description in RNAcentral is "bacterial SSU rRNA". It matches the Rfam family "Bacterial small subunit ribosomal RNA", at positions 43 to 664 of the family's 1533-position model. The record is from RNAcentral.
UGGAGCCGAACCCAUGCAAGUCGAGCGGUACAUUUCUAGGCUUGCUAGAAGAUGACGAGCGGCGGACGGGUGAGAAAUGCUUGGGAAUAUGCCUUAGGGUGGGGGACAACAGUUGGAAACGACUGCUAAUACCGCAUAACGUCUACGGACCAAAGGGGGCUUCGGCUCUCGCCCUUAGAUUAGCCCAAGUGGGAUUAGCUAGUUGGUGAGGUAAUGGCUCACCAAGGCGACGAUCCCUAGCUGGUUUGAGAGGAUGAUCAGCCACACUGGAACUGAGACACGGUCCAGACUCCUACGGGAGGCAGCAGUGGGGAAUAUUGCACAAUGGGCGCAAGCCUGAUGCAGCCAUGCCGCGUGUGUGAAGAAGGCCUUAGGGUUGUAAAGCACUUUCAGUAAGGAGGAAAGGUUAGUAGUUAAUACCUGCUAGCUGUGACGUUACUUACAGAAGAAGCACCGGCUAACUCCGUGCCGGCAGCCGCGGUAAUACGGAGGGUGCGAGCGUUAAUCGGAAUUACUGGGCGUAAAGCGUACGCAGGCGGUUUGUUAAGCGAGAUGUGAAAGCCCCGGGCUCAACCCUGGGGAACUGCAUUUCGAACUGGCAAACUAGAGUAUGAUAGGAGGGUGGUAG